This 312-nucleotide ribosomal RNA is filed under the name Triticum aestivum (bread wheat). RNAcentral's name for it is "partial small subunit ribosomal RNA". Lineage: Eukaryota; Viridiplantae; Streptophyta; Magnoliopsida; Poales; Poaceae. The record is from RNAcentral.
AUGAGCCUGUUUUGUGUGCAGCACGGCUAUCCCAAUGGUGUAGCUGUCGUUGUACAGAGUUGUAAUUCCUUGUCGAAAACCUUUCCAAUUCAGUGGUGUCAGCUAUGGCCUGGAGAGAGGUGUUUAGACUCCCUAAGAUGGUAUAUGUCGCUGAGGAGACGUGAUCUCCGAGCAACCCUUCUCAUAGCUCGCAGUCCAGGUCGAUGCCAAAUUCAACUUCCAGGAGGAUUUUUGUGCUGUGGCUGCAAGUUUGUGUUAUCGCGGGGAAAUAUCUUUUGUUUGUUUCUUAUAUUGUUGAUGUGGGUGAGUUGA